CCCUUAGAUGUUCUGGGCCGCACGCGCGCUACACUGACGAAGUCAGCGAGCAUGUCCUACGCCGACAGGUGCGGGGAAUCUUGUCAAACUUCGUCGUGAUGGGGAUUGAUUAUUGAAAUUCUUGAUCAUCAACGAGGAAUUCCUAGUAAGCGCAAGUCAGCAGCUUGCGUUGAUUACGUCCCUGCCCUUUGUACACACCGCCCGUCGCUACUACAGAUUGAAUGGUUUAGUGAGAUCUUCGGAUUGGCGCCACUGCGGCUCAGCAAUGGGCUCGGUGGAUGCCGAAAAGUUGAUCAAACUUGAUCAUUUAGAGGAAGUAAAAGUCGUAACA
RNAcentral lists this ribosomal RNA (331 nucleotides) under uncultured eukaryote. RNAcentral's name for it is "partial 18S ribosomal RNA". It matches the Rfam family "Eukaryotic small subunit ribosomal RNA", at positions 1470 to 1796 of the family's 1831-position model. The record is from RNAcentral.